RNAcentral lists this long non-coding RNA (559 nucleotides) under Citrus x clementina. RNAcentral describes it as "Citrus clementina (C. clementina) long non-coding RNA (CCLE_LNC001866)". Lineage: Eukaryota; Viridiplantae; Streptophyta; Magnoliopsida; Sapindales; Rutaceae. The record is from RNAcentral.
CUGAAGUAAUUUUUUUUAAAAAAAAAUUAUUAAUUAGACAAUGGACCAAAACUCUGAAAAGUGAAGUGAAUUUGCCCCAACUUUUGCCAAAAAGAGUGUUAUUUGGCUUUAGCCAUAGGAAAUUUUCAAUUCAAAGUUGGUGUUCUUUACAGAAUUUGAUCCAAAAGGUAAGAAGUGUAUAAAUUAUAAUUUAACUGGUCAAGGCAAAUCAAUAAAGUAAUCAGAUAUCGAUGACAAGAAACACAAACCAAAUCGUUUGAUGUGAUAAUAGACUACUGCAGUCGGUCGAGUCGUCAAGUUGCUGCUUUGAAUCCAAUAAAUAAUUGAACUAGGCUGGUCAUUGCCGACAAUUUCAGAACGGCUUGGUAGCUGGCGUUGUCUCGAUUGAAUAAAUUAUUUGUCUUUGUGCUUGUGCUUGUUCUUGUUCCUGUGAAUGUGGAUGCUGAUGGGAAUUCAUUCUUUAUGCAUACGCAUAUAUUGUGGAUUUUGUUUCAUUUCAUGAGUAUGAAUGGAACUAAGGAAGUAAGGAUUCUCUUUUUCUGAGAUGAUUCUUACUUCU